UAUAAAUUAACUCUGCUGUUGCAUUGCUGGAAGCUUUAACUUGCUGCCUUUUCCUGCUUUUCAGAUGCAGCAGCAACAGCAGCAGCAGCAGCUGCAGCGAAUUGCUCAAAUGCAGCAGCUGCAGGCAGCACAGGUCAUGCAGGCACAGCAGCAGCAGCAACAGCAGCAGCAGAUACCACAGCAACAGAUACAGCAGCAGGCACCUCAGCAAGUCAUGCAACAGCAGAUGCAACAGAUGCAGCAGCAACAGCAGCAGCAGCAGCAACAACAGCAGCAGGUUGCUCAGGCACAGCAGCCUCAGCUCCCACCACAGUCCCAGCCUCAGCCCCAGCCCAUGGUGUCUCAGCCUCAGGCAAUCUCAGGACAAAUCCCCAGCCAGGUUAUGCCUGUCACUCUCACACCACAGCAGUUAAAAGCUAUGCAGGUGAGAGCGCAGCUGGUGCAGCAGCAGCAGCAGCAGGCAGCAGCAGCAGCAGUGCAGGCAGCUCAGGCCCAGGCUGCUCAGAUGGGAGCCUCAGGGCAGGUAAGGGCCCCGUGUCACAGCUGCCAGCCUGGGCCAGGUGCAUGCUGGAGAUGAGCAUGGAGUGGGGUUCUGGUGGUUCCUGGUGAGGGUCUGACACUGCUCAUCCCCUCCAUGAAGGGGGUGUGGGUUCCUCUGCUGUUUCUCCUUUGCCUGGAGUCAGAGGCAGGAUUUCAUUGCCAACCUCUCUGUGCAUGCUCUCUGUCCCCAGUAGGUUCCAGUGUUGCCUGUACUGACACAGGAAUGCACAGAUGGUCUCCUGUGGGCACACUACAAGUCUGACUGUUGGUACCUGGAGUGUAUCACCUCUUCUUUCAUUAGACUCUCCUAGGUGACUGCUUUGUUGUGUAAACUGAUUUCUGUACUGUGAAUCCUUGCCUGCUCUCUUUAAUCACAUGUGAUUUACCUUCCAUCUUCAUGUAUUGACUAGAAAAAAAUAGUAUAGAUGAUGAAAUCUCUCUGCACUCCCCCUUCAGUCCUUUCACCUUUCAUUUUCUUCUGAGUGAGAUGGGCAGUAGAUCUAGAUGCUCUUGUUCUGGGUGUGAAUUGUGAAGAACAAAUGGUGUGUGUCACAAGUGCAGAGUUACAUGGAAAAAAGAAAAGUGCUGGGUGAAAGCUUGUUGUCUAACAUGGUUUUUCUAUCCUGCAAUACACCUGCAGCCCCAGUGGUUGUUUCUUGAUGUGUGUUUGGUGUGAAGGAGACAUGGGGAAAAAAUGGGGAAUGGCUUGAGCUGAGCCUCUAUCCCAUUUUCCACAAGAAUAUGGAAAUCUUGUGUGGCUUACCUGUGUAGUGAUUCAUAUUGAGGCAUUUACAGACAAGGGUAAGUACAAAUAUCACCAUUGUGUAGAUGAAGAGAGGCAGACAGAUGAAAUGAGGCUGACUGGGACUAAUGGCAGAAUUCUUUAUGCAUACCCAGCCAUUCCAUGGUUUUCAAGCACCAUUUCCAUUCAGUGCACAAGUAAAUUUGUAGAUUCAGUAAGAAGCUUUUUAUGUGGGCUGUGAUUCUCCAGUGAACACCUCCCAGGCUUGUACCAUGGUGACUCUCAGCUGGCCACAUCCUUGCUGGUGUGACCACUUUCUGUUUCUGAGUUUCUGCUUUGGCUUGUGUCAGUGUAACACAGGACAGUGGUAAGUACAGCUGAGACAGUGCUGGCAGCAAUGCAGAAUUCUCUUCCUACAGCUGAAAUGUGAAUUAAAACUUGUUUGUUUCUUAAAUAAUUUCCAGGUGGGAGCUGCAGGGACUUAGGCUGACUGGAAGGAGACACUGACUUUAUUUUCUUGUUCCUAACUCUAGUGGUGCUCUUUUCAACUCUGAACAGAUGGAUUGUGUUUAUGUAGAGUCAGCUGAAUUCCUGCCCCUUUAGUGGCUUCAUGUGCCAGUGGCUUAACAGCACAGUGCAUUUGGAAAGCUUUGGGUGAUGAUGACAUGGUUGGCAGCCAGUUUUGUAUUGCAGCUUUAUCCAGUCCUGUGUGGGGAUUGCUCUUUCUCUGCCACAUGUGGAGUUUGGGAUAUUCCACACACAGGUUUUACUCCACUGAUGUUUAUGCCAGUGCAAGAUGAGUCUGCUGAAAUUCACCUACCACUAUAAAGUCCAAUAACUAAAUGGGUUUCUUGUACUUGUAUAAAUAUUUUCUCCAUAUAACAGGUUUAAGGUUGUGGCUGUAUAUAAUAUUACAAUGCAGCUUCAGUGUUGAGAGUAAGAAUUUCCUUUAUAAGAAGAUUCCUUUAAGGCUAGAUUUUUGCUUUCUAUUUAGUACAUUUUUCAGUAGCACCAGCAUUUUGAAUAAAUCUGCCUUGAUUUCUUUAUUUGGUUCA
RNAcentral lists this long non-coding RNA (2337 nucleotides) under Zonotrichia albicollis (white-throated sparrow). RNAcentral describes it as "lncRNA (ENSZALG00000009612.1)". The record is from RNAcentral. Lineage: Eukaryota; Metazoa; Chordata; Aves; Passeriformes; Passerellidae.